Molecule: transfer RNA, 479 nt
Filed under: uncultured Bartonella sp.
Lineage: Bacteria; Pseudomonadati; Pseudomonadota; Alphaproteobacteria; Hyphomicrobiales; Bartonellaceae
Description: partial 16S-23S ribosomal RNA intergenic spacer
Rfam family: tRNA (bases 83-156)
Source: RNAcentral
AAAAGGCUUUAUGAAGAAAGCUCUUUAAGCUUUUCCAGUGAUUUAAGAUGAUACCGGGGAAGGUUUUCCGGUUUAUCCCGGAGGGCUUGUAGCUCAGUUGGUUAGAGCGCGCGCUUGAUAAGCGUGAGGUCGGAGGUUCAAGUCCUCCCAGGCCCACCAAUUUAUGCUCGUUUUUUGCUUAUCCAAGAGUAUGAAGCUUAAGCGUAUUAAAGCCUCUUUUAAUCUUUGUUUAUUUUAAAGAUUUAAUUUUAUCAUUCAAAGAUUGUUUGUUAAAUUUAUUCUAUUAAGUUUGUCAAAGGGGGAGUUUGUCAAAGGAGGUUUUUAAAUCCCUUCAUUUUGAAAUUCCUUCAAGGUAUAGAGAAAUUUAAAUGAUGUAUAGAGAAAUUUAAAUGAUGCAAAUCAAAAUAGUACAAAUCAAAGUCGUAUAAAUGAUUCAAGUUGAUAAAUUUUCUUGAGGUUGAUUUGAGAGAGCAUUCUUU